Asparagus officinalis (garden asparagus) is the source of this 7017-nucleotide RNA transcript. It is a transcript of the gene named methyltransferase-like protein 7A, with no coding region annotated. The transcript is spliced from 7 exons. NCBI's taxonomy places the organism in Eukaryota, Viridiplantae, Streptophyta, Magnoliopsida, Asparagales, Asparagaceae. The record is from RefSeq and is a predicted model, not a curated record.
GAUGUUCUGAUGUACUAGAACGCACCUUGGACGGUCCAGAUUAGCGCAGCUCCUCCGUGAAGGAACGCCAUGCUUGCCUCCUCCUCCUGUUCUCCUCCUCCCUUGAACUUGCUCGCCACCGUCUCCACUACUACCAAAACCCAAACCCUAACCCUGACCCGGACUCGGAUUCAAACCCGAACCCGAUCCAUCUCUCAAUCCGAUCCGCUUCGGUACUGCUCGUGCGGGAGGAGGCAUCUCUUGGCAGCGAGCCUCCUGCUCCCCAUUCUUCCCUCCAGUUCCCAGGCAGCGGAAAUUACGAGCUCACCCUCUCAUAUCCCCACGUGUGUGAUCGACAAGUUUUAUCCUCCAAAAGCAGACUGGUAUGAGGAAUUCUAUGCACAGGCCACCGAUAUGGGAAUGAUCUCCUAUGAAGCUGAGAUUGCAGGUUACAAAAAAGAACUCUUUGGCCGUCUUGCAGUUUCAGGGAAGAGUAAGAACAUUGUAGAGCUUGGCGUAGGUACUGGUGCUAAUUUCAAGUACUAUGCGAGUGCUGCUGAUUUCAAUGUUAUCGGGGUAGACCCUAAUAAAAAGAUGGAGAAACACGCACGAGCAGCAGCAGUAGCUGCUGGAUUGCCACCAACAAAUUUUACAUUUAUCCGAGGGGUUGGAGAAGCCUUGCCUAUUGGUGAUAAUUCCAUGGAUGCAGUUAUUGGUACUCUUGUACUGUGUUCAGUGAAAGAUGUUGAUAUAUCUUUGAAAGGUCAGAUGGUCUGGAGUAUUAAAUCAAAAGAUCAGUCAAACUGUCUGAUGGAGAAGCCUUGAUUCUAUGAAGAAGUAUGAGUUCACGUGAUCCUAUCCUCUAUGGCGUAAAGUCAUGUUUCUAGCUAACAGCUCUAGUUUUCAUAGUUUAGAACUAUCUAGAAUCCUUGGUGAUGCCCCAGCUCAAUGGAAGAGACCAAUGUUCUUAUGCUAAAGAAAUGUGGUCACCAGAGCAAUGUGCUCUAAACUUUUUGAACAAUCUAAAAUCCUUGGUGAUGCCCCAGCUCAAUGGAAGAGACCAAUGUUCUUAUGCCAAGGAAAUCUGGUCACCAGAGCAAUGUGCUUUAAACUGAUUUUGUAACGAGGAAGACGAUUGGUACAGGACGUGAGCGAAACGGUCUGUAUGAGCUAGAGUUGGCUUCGGAUCAUGUGGCUUGUACCAGUACUUCAUCUGCACUUGAUUACCACUGUCGGUUUGGUCAUCCAUCUCUACCUGUACUCAAAAUGAUUAUGCCCUCUUUAAAGAGUAUUUCCACCUUAGAUUGUGAAUCGUGUCAGUUUGGAAAACACCAUCGUGUGUCAUUUCCUAAUCGAGUCAAUAACCGAGCUACUAAGCCAUUUGAUUUGGUUCAUUCUGAUGUAUUGGGUCCAUGUCCAAUAACUUCAAAAAUAAGAUUUAAAUAUUUUGUUAGCUUUGUAGAUGAUUUUUCACAUGUUACAUGGAUUUAUCUUUUGAAAUCUCGGUCUGAAGUGUUUUCUAUUUUCAAAAUAUUUUACUUAGAAAUCCAGACUCAGUGCAAUACCUAUAUUAAAACCUUACGCUCAGAUAACGCAAAAGAAUAUUUGGAAACCCUAUUUGUCAAUUUUCUUGCUCAUCAUGGUAUUUUACAUCAAUCCUCUUGCGUUUACACUCCUCAACAAAAUGAGGUUGUUGAACGUAAGAAUAGACAUCUUCUUGAUACUGCUCGGUCCUUAUUAUUUCAUCGACAUGUUCCAAAAGAAUUUUGGGGGGAAGCUGUUUUAACUGCCUGCUAUUUAAUUAAUCGAAUGCCAUCCUUUGUAUUAUACAAUAAGAUUCCCUACAGUGUCUUAUAUUCCACUUCUGAUCUAUACCUUACCCCUAAAUUUUUUUGGCUCUCUAUGCUUUGUUUAUAACCAAAGUCCUACGAAAACUAAACUUGAUCAUCGAUCAAUCAAAGGUAUUUUUCUUGGCUAUUCUCGAACUCAAAAAGGUUACAAAUAUUUCUGUCCCUCUCUUAACCGCUAUCUCACCUCUGCUGACGUUACCUUCUUUGAACACCUACCUGGUCACUCUUCAUCUCCCCCUUCAUCUAUUGAUGACUAUGACUACCUGCUCCUACAUGAUACCUUCAUACCUAAUGGUAUUGUGCCACUAAUGAACGAUACUGGUAAGAACCCACUGAGAUUUCAGGAACCAUUACAGGUCUAUACACGUCGCACCACUCAUGCUCCUAUGCCAACGCCAGCCUUGGAAUUCAAGUCCUGUGCUUAGCUCUAGUCCUCUCGCUCCUUCUGAUUUAGAUCUUGAUCGCCCUAUUGUUCUUCGUAAGGGUAAACGGUCUUGUACUCAUCAUCCUGUCUCUAAUUUUGUUUCUUACUCUUAUCUCUCUUCUUCUUUUUGAUCUUUUAUUUCUUCUUUGGACUCAUUCGAUUCCCAGAAAUGUGUUAGAAGCUCUAUCUAUUCCAGGUUGGACUCAGGCAAUGCAGGAAGAAAUGACUGCCCUUACUAAAAAUGAGACAUGAGAUUUGGUUCCUUUACCACCUGGCAAAAUCGCAGUUGGCUGCAAAUGGGUGUAUAUUAUUAAGCUCAAUCCUGAUGGGUCUCUUGCUAGAUUAAAAGCUCAUUUGGUAGCAAAGGGUUUCUCACGGGUUUAUGGCUUGGACUAUGUAGAUACCUUCUCUCCUGUGGACAAAAUGACUUUUGUUUGCAUUUUCAUAUUUUUGGCUGCAAUCCAUCACUGGCCUCUUCAUCAGCUAGAUAUUAAAAAUGCUUUCCUUCAUGACAUUUUAGAAGAAGUCUAUAUGGAGUAACCGCCAGGCUUUGUUGUUCAGGGGGGGUCUACGAAAGUCUGCAGAUUAAAGAAAUCACUAUAUGGCUUGAAACAGUUUUCUCGUGCCUGGUUUGAUCGUUUUGCCUCCGUACUUCGAGAGUUUGGCCUCAGUCGUGCAGAAAAAGAUCAUUCUGUCUUCUGGCCGAUGCACGAUGGCAAAAUGAUACUACUAGUUGUGUAUGUGGAUGAUAUUGUGAUCACAUGGGAUGAUGCACAUGGUAUGGAUAGCCUGAAGAAAUAUCUGUAGACGCACUUUCAAACUAAGGACAUUGGUUCUCUUAAGUACUUCCUAGAUAUAGAAGUGACCCGAUCAAAGAAGGGUAUUUUACUGUCAUAAAGGAAAUACGUUCUUGAUAUGCUAUCAGAAGCUGGAAUGUUGGGAUGUAGGAGUAUUGACUCUCCAAUGGAUGUGAACACAAAACUGCUACCAGACCAGGGGGAGCUCCUUGAGGAUGUGGGGGAGAUACAGGAGAUUGGUGUGCAAAUUAAACUAUUUGACGGUAAUCAGACCUGACAUCACAUUUGCUGUCAGUGUAGUAAGCCAAUUUCUAUCAGCACCGAGAACUACUCAUUUUGAUGUCGUAAUGCGGAUUUUGAGAUAUUUAAAGAAAGCUCCUAGAAGAGGACUUCUCUACACAGACCAGAGACACAUAAAGGUGACAGGCUUUUCUGAUACAGAUUGGGCUGGGUGUCCUUCUGAUAGAAGAUCGACCACAUGUUAUUGUGUCUUUCUUGGAGGAAAUCUUAUAUCAUGGAAGAAUAAGAAGCAAAGUAAAGUAUUCCGAUCAAGUGCAGAGUUAGAAUAUAAGGCCAUAACGAAUGUAACAUUAGAAAUGAUAUGGAUCAGAGAUUUACUGAUAGAAAUUAAACUCUUCCUAAAUGUCCUAUGAGCUUAUAUGGAGACAAUUAGGCGGCAAUCCAUAUUGCUGAGAAUUUUGUAUUUCAUGUGAGAACCAAGCAUAUUGAAGUUGAUUGCCAUAUAAUUUGUGAGAAACUUAUGGAGAAGAUCAUUGAAGUAAAACAUGUGUCAACGGGAUAUCAGCUAGCUGAUAUUUUUACUAAACCACUAGGUAAAAUACGAAUAGAUUUUAUUUGUGACAAACUGGGCAUGUAUGAUGUAUACGCUCUAGUUUGAGGGAGAGUGUUAAGAGACUAUUGGGUUUAGUCCCACAUCUGUUAAGGACAUAACUGUGCUAUCAUUGUAUUAAAAUAAAUAGAUGAGGAGAGGCUACAAAGCAAUGAUCUCCUUUUAUCUAAUUCCUCUCUGUACUAUUUAACACCAUUCAACUCCCUUACUAUAUGUGCAUGCUUUUUUUGAUCGCUUGAUUUACCACGAAUCUCUCAAGAGUUAUUUAUAGAGUUUUCCAUUAUCUCCUACUUGGAUUAUUAAAUCCUAAUCCUCUUUCAAUUGCAUUCAAUCCUAAUUGAAAUGAUAUUUUCCAUUAAAAGCCAAAUCUAAAUCUAAGUCGAAAUAGCAUUAGCUGAUUAUAAAGAUAAAUCCUGACAAUCUCGCCUUAAACUUGUUUGAAGUUAGUUUUGAAAAUUGAUUGUUCCUUCUUUGCAACAUUUUGCAUUAUAAGUUGUCCUUUGUAGAGAUACAUGACAAAGGACUCUUACCUUCUACUCACUCUCCGAAGGUCUCAAUAGGAACUACCGUUGCUUUUUGAUUGAUGCCAAGUCCUCUCCUGACUUGACACCAAACCCAGUUAAUGAUUCCUUUCUUACAACAAUUCAAGGUUGGUUCUGAGCCUAUUGUAGGCUUUAACACAACUCUACCUGAUAUUGAAUCCCUAUAUAAAAUUCCUUUAGGAAUCCAAGGUUGGUGCGAACUUGUCUUCCUCGUGGCCAAAUACCCCAUUGAAGAUGAAGCUCCACCUUAAAUAUUGCUUCCCUCAACAACAUGUAGAAACAAUCUCCACACUUCUUUUUAUCUACGAUGACAUUCAUUCCUCGAUCUAUGGUGGUGUUCGAAUCAAGCACCCCUAAUGAUAUUAGACUAUGAUGACUUUUUAAAAUAACCGAACAUCUUCCAAAGCAAGCAUGUCCCCACCUCUUACCACUCCUCUUCCCAGUUCCCACAACCUUGCACUUUGUGCCAUUUGCCAUGAAAACAAUCUCUUUGACUCCCCAUGUCAAGGAAUAAAAUAUGUUAUUCUGAACCGGAAUCUAAUACCUAAGAGCCGUAAUAAGUGUUCUUAUUGGAAAUCAUUAACACAUCUGCUUGUUUUUUCCCCUAACAUCAGAGUCCAUCAAAACUUUAGUUUGUUCACCUUGCUCAUACCAUCUGCAUAAGAUGAAUGACCCGUAGCCCUAUCAUGUGCCUUUUGAUUCUUCAACUACAUGUGCCUUUGCAAACAAUCCUUCUUAAAAUGACCCUUUCCUUGACAAAAAGUGAAAUUUUUUGGCAUUUGGCUUCAUCCUAUUUAAUACUUAUUCUCGCUUCCAUUUGCCGUCAAUCUCCUAUCUGAUUUGUUCCCAAUAUCUGAAUUUCUCUAAAGUUCUUAAGUUAAAAGCUUUGCUUUUACCUAUCUAUGGUUAGUCUCCUUACUUAUAGGCAAUAAUGCAAUCAAAAUUUUAUAACUGUUGGGGAUGAGAAUGCUAGAGAAUUGUCGCUCUAUCAUCAUCUACCAGCUCCACUGCAGUCACUACUAACUCGUGUAUGAUCCUGUUGAGGAGGUUCAAAUGCUCCGAAAUUGUUGUACCUUCCUCAUGUGCAAUCUGUAUGAUUGUUGCUUAUCAUAAAACUUGGUGGAUAGGUUCUUAGUUAUGUGCAGUGAUUUGAGCUUUUUCUCUAGACCUAUUAUCGUUUCCUUUAUCAGAUAGGGAGCUCCACUGCAGUCACUACUAACUCAGGUAUGAUCCUGUUGAGGAGGUUCAAAUGCUCCGAAAUUGUUGUACCUUCCUCAUGUGCAAUCUGUAUGAUUGUUGCUUAUCAUAAAACUUGGUGGAUAGGUUCUUAGUUAUGUGUAGUGAUUUGAGCUUUUUCUCUAGACCUAUUAUCGUUUCCUUUAUCAGAUAGGGAUAGUUGAAUCAAGUUGCGUACAAUAUUAAUCAAUUUAACCAAUCAUAUUGUUUCAUUUUUUCUGGCUUUGGAUCUUUUUUUUUCUAGCGGGGCUCGGCCUAGAUCUGACGAAGUCUCCAUUCUUUUUAGUUGAAGUUAUAAAUUUAUCUUUCCGUUGAAUUUCUCAACCUCAACCUUCAUCCUAGAGUAUUCUUCCUUUGUCAUGUGACUAGAUUAUUUCACUUUCAAAAUGAGCUCUAAUGCUAACUUAUCUUAUUUUGAUACCAAUUGUUGUGAAAUUGGUCAAGAUGUAGAAGUGUAACACGAUCUAUCAAUUAGAUCUAUCCCGUCAAAAGAGACUAUCAAUCCAGCAGUAAAGAGCAAACUCGAUGAGCAAAUCUGAAACAGGCCGAAUUAAACAUCGAUAAUUUUGCAGAGAAUAGAAUCUAACACAAAAAUAGCGAUUUAACUUGGUUCGGCCUACGUCUAUGUCCACGGGAAGAGAAAAGAGUCGACUUUAUUACUAGGUAUUACAAGAUGUCUUUCUUGAUUUCACAAGAGUCCUCUUCUUGAUCUCCCAAAAGGCGUACUAAACAUUAGGAUUACAACUUUGUUUCUUCUCUACACCCAGUUGAACCUCCCUUACAAUUAUGUAAACUUUGGAUAGCUUGAUUUACCAUGAAGCUCCCCAGCGGUAUUUAAGGAGUUUUAUUCCCUAGAUUGAACUCAUGUAGGAUUCGUUCUUUAGCUUGGAUUAUCAAAUUCCAAUCUUCUUUUAAUUGGAAUUCUAUUUGUUUCUUUGCAAUCGAAGUCAAAUCUCAAUCAAAGUUCAAAUAGGGUUAGCUGAAUACAAGGAUAAAUGCUGACAAUUCAUAUCCUAUAUCCUCAUGUUCACAUAUCAUGGACGUACAUAUGCAAGCCAAAGAAGGGAGAAGAAAGCCAAAGCCCAAGGUACAUGGUCAUUGCUAUAACUUUACGUUCACCAACUGUAUCUCUUGUUCAUUUUGUUCCCUUCUCCUUUAAUUUAUGGUUAAAGCCCAGAGAAAUAUAGCUGUAUGGACCUCUAGUAAACCCAGUUAAGUGAUUAGGUCCAGGUAAGGUUGAUACGAGUCGCCGUGCGAGCACCUUUGAUCGCGAAAUUAUCAAAUGUGGGUUGAGAAGAGAAUGACAGAAACACAAGAACAAUUCAGUAUGUGGCGAAGA